Gorilla gorilla gorilla (western lowland gorilla) is the source of this 5841-nucleotide long non-coding RNA. RefSeq lists it as uncharacterized. The record is from RefSeq and is a predicted model, not a curated record. NCBI's taxonomy places the organism in Eukaryota, Metazoa, Chordata, Mammalia, Primates, Hominidae. The transcript is spliced from 3 exons.
GGUGCCGCAAGGCACCAUCCCUGCAGGGAUAAGGGGAGGAACCUAGGCGCCUUAGGUCAGGGCGCAGCGACUGGUGCCGGAGGCAGCCAAUCAGGGCGGGGCUUGCAGACCGGACUGAUGUCCAGAGCCCGGGAACCUUAGGGAAACCAUAAGCAACCUCUGGGUUGGGCUUGCGGCGGGGCGGGGCGGGGCUGAAGGUGUGGCAGCGCCCUGAACCUGGAGAAAGGCUAGUACAUAAACGACUACGUCAGAAUCUGGAGUCAGCUGGAGUGUGCCAGCAGCAAGAUGGCCCUUACCAGAUGCUGGCACCUUCAUAUUUGACUUCCCAGCCUCCGGAACUGCCAUCUGGAGUGAAACUGAAGUCUGCCCAGAGCUGCUGGAAGCCCCAGCUGCCCUGCUGCCCACGGAGUCCUCUGAGGACGACUCCAGAGUCCCUCAACUCCUUGGAGGAGAUAAGCAGCCAACACAGUGUUGUUCAGCAGAUGCCAUCGUCUGCCAUGUAAGUUAAAUAAGGCAGACAGCAGCAGCUAAGGAGAUUUUAGCCUCCUGUUCUAAACAGUAUUUUAGCUUAACAGCAGAAAACGUUUAACAUGUUCCCCCCUCCUAGAAAAACAAGCAAUUUAUCUUCAGGGAGAGGGAGAAAAAGCACUUUCCACCAUUCUGAUGGGUCAUCAAGUUUAAAAGCUCUCUUAUCCCUAAACUUUUAGAGAAACUAACAGAAAGUAUGUUUCCCUUUCCCUGGAGCUUAUUUACCUUGCAAAUCGUUUGUCUGUCCGGAAGUGCUACAAUAAUGGCUACAUAUAUAUUUUUGUUUCCAGAUUCAUUAAUGAUGUCAGAAGUGUAAAACUAAAGGCAGAAGACUGUGGUUUUCAAGAUUGCUCCCCAACUAGGCUUGGCGACCCAUGAAGGCAGAGGACCUUUCUGAGUUAUCUUUGUACCCUGCAUAGUCCUGGCAGAAAAUAGCACCUAAGUCAUUCAUUUAGCAAAUUUUUUAAAACAAUAUUCCUGUCAUGACACAUUCAGCAAUUAUUUAUUUAUUUAUUUAUAUUAUUUUUAGAAACAGGGUCUUGCUCUGUCACCCUGGCUGGAGUGCAGUGGUGCAAUCAUAGCUGCAGCCUCGACCUCCCAGGCUUAAGUGAUCCUCCCACCUCAGUCUGUAGAAUAGCUGGGACUACAGGAAUAUACCACCACAACCCAGCUCAUUAAAAAAAAAGAAUUCUGUAGAGACAAGGGUGUCUUGCUAUGUUUCCCAGGCUGGUCUCAAACUCCUAGCCUCAAGCAAUCUUCUCAUGCUGGCCCCCCAAAUCACUAGAAGUACAGGCAUGAGGCACCAUGCUUGGCUAUAAGCACAUUUUUAAUGAGCACUUAGUAUGUGCCACAUGCUGCAGAUGUAGCCACAAGCCUCUGACCUCACAGACCUCAUAUUAAACAAGUAAACAAGGUAAUUUUAGAUUUUUUUCAGUGCUACAAAAUAAAAACAGGGAAAUAGGAGAGAGAGUAGAGAACAGGACUUUGAGAAGAAAGUCUGGAAUCCCCAAGAAGGUGGGUGUCAGAAAAGAGAUUUGGCACAGACCCCGCCCCGUUUUUUGUUUUUUUUUUUUUUUUAACGACCAGGCCCUGGAAUUUGAACCACCAUCUUUUGGACUGACUCAAAUGCAGAGGAAGCCAGGCCUGCUGCUAACAUUUCUGAGAGGCGGCAAGAGUAUAAAUGGAGAUCCACAUAUGUAUAAAUAAAGAGUGUGAAUCAAGCUAACAAACUGUUUAAUAAAAUAUGAUCUACCCUUUUAGCUUGACAAAUCAACUUUUCAAACACCUGGAAGAACAAGUUUGCACUCAGGAUUCUCAGACUCCUCAGAGUUCUGCACUGGGAUGUGGAAGGGCUGUGCAAGCCAGCCCUUGGGUCCCUGAUCCCUGUCUCCUGGCCUGUGCCUGUCUCUUCUCAGCCUGGCUCCAACUCCCAUUGAGAGGAAGUUCUUGUACACAUAUGAUACUGCAGCCCCUAUGUCUAAUAUUUAUCCAUACCUUCUGCAAACAGCCAGUGUGUGACCACCCUUGGGCUUCCCAGGGGUCUGCAAACUGACAAUACUGACAAAGGGAACCAAGGCAGAGGCUCACAGACUGUAGAAAUGGGCUUGGGGCCAUUUGGGCAGAGACUUGUGGAAUCCCAGGUAAGCAGGGCAUCUUAGUUUGCUUGUGCUGCUUAAAUACUAUGGAAGAGGUAAUUUAUAAAUAUUAGAAUUUAUUUCUCAGAGUUCUGGAGGCUGGGAAGUCCAAGGUCCAGGUCAAGGUGCUAGCAGAUUUGCUGUCUGGUGGGAGCUGCUCCCUCUGCUUCCAAGAUGGCACUUUUUUGCUGUGUCCUCUGGAGGGGAAGAAAGCUUAGACGGGCAAAAGGGGGCAAUUAUCUCUCUGGGACCUCUUUUGUAAAAGUAUUAAUCCAUUCCUGAGGGCUCUGCCCUCAUGACUUAAUCACUUUCCCAAAAUCACAUCUCUUAAUACUACCUCAAUGAAGAUUAAGUUUCCAUAUGAAUUUUGAAGGGGUCACAUUCAAGCCACAGCACAGAGCAUGACCUAGCAGAGGAGAUGCAAGCUCUGGGUGUGCAAGUCCCCUUUGCUCCAUGGACUUCUUGCUUCAUGGGAAGGGAUGUGGCUGGAGGGUACCCCUCUACAGCACAGGGCCCAGAGCACCCCUCUUGCCUUGGGUUUAGGGAUAGUAUAGGUGGUGGUGGUGAGGCUACUUUUGCUCAUUAAGAAAAGCCUCUUUGAGGGGUGGGACCGAGAAUGUCAUUUGAAUGGAAACUUGAAUCAUAAAGAUGAGUCAUACAAGCCAAGACUUGGGAGAAGGGCAUUCCUAAGGAUAUGCCCAGCUCUCAUAAGCUCUAACGAAGAGUCAUCAACUGUGGUGGGUGGAGCCUAAUUAAGAGGAGAAGAAUGGUAAGAGACAAGGUGAGAUGGUCAGGCAGGAGCAGGGAGCCUGGAGGUCAGGUAAGGGGGCUUGACUUUGCCAUGAGUGCAAUGGGAAGCCUCUGGAGGGUUGAUAUGAUUUGAAUUCUGUUACAGCACGAUCACUCUGGGUGCUGUGUGAAAUGGAUGAAUAGCAAGGAGCUGCAGCCAAGAGCAAAUCAACAGAAGCACCACUCAAAAUGCCUCAGUACCCAUUACAUAAGGAUUCUUGUGAUUAAUUCUUCCCCAAAAUUUAGAGCCAAGAAAAAUCCAGCUCUCCUACUGAGAGUUGUAGAUUAGAGCUUCUGUUUCUAAUCUACAAACAAAUGUGUGCAAUGUCUUUUCAUGACAAUUCCAACUUUAUCAUAAGGUUGUCUACUAAGAAACUAGUAGGCAGGUUUCUCUUCUUGUCUAGACCACCUGAAAGCUCAUAGCUGAGUUUGCACUUAUUUGCACAGUAAACUGCUCAUUUAUCAAUCUGGCAUCCAAUCACAACUUUUUAGCUAACUACCUAUAUGUUUUCAUAAACUUUUCUCACACAGUAUAAAUUUUAAAUAAAUAACAAUAGCAAUUAAGUAGUAACAACUCGAGACUGGUAUCUGACUAGUGGUUCUUUCACCAGUGUGUACACUGGAAGUUUUGUUUUGUUUUUUUGAUGUUUGUACAUUGUAAUUGCAGGACAGGUAGUAAGAUGAUUUCAAAUUCACAUUAGCUUUGCUACCACUAAAUUAUGGUGACUGUUUCUAAUUUGCAAACAAAUGUAUGCAAUCUCUUUUUAUGAUUAUCCCGACUUUAUCAAUCAUAAGGUUGUUAUAUUUUAAGACAUAUGAAAAGGUAUAAAGUAUAAUACAGUGAAUACAUAUGUAUCUAACUCCCAGUUUAAGAAAUAAAACAUUAGCAAAUACAGCUGAAGCUCCAUGAAUUCCCCUCCCAAAUCAUACUCCCUUCCCACCCGCAGAGGGAACCUCUAUUCUGAGCCUGGUGUUUAUCACCACCAAGAAUUAAAAAAAUACUUUAACUAUAUAUACACAAGUAUGUACCCCUUAGAAAUGAGUAGUAGUACUGUUUUGUGUGUCUUUACACUUUAAGUAAAUGGUAUAAGUUUUUUCUUGUUUUUGCUCAAAAUUGUUGAUAUUUAUGCCCUUUGAUUCUAUAGCUGAUUGACUUUCACUGUGAGUCAUUCCAUCAUUAUUUCUGUAUUCAUUCUCCUGCUGAAGUACAUUUCAGGUUGUUGCUAUUCUUCUGCUGAUCCCCCUCCCCCCAACACACAUGCUUUUAUUAAUAAAUCUGCUGGAACAUUCUUGCAUACAUCUCCUUAGAUGUGUUGUAUCAUAAACCACAAAAUAUACUGAGCUUUUCAGACACAGGUUCUACAUUAAGUCAUUAUUUUCAGAUUGAUUUACCAUUGCUCAUAUUCAAUCCUUUAGAAUGGCCUCAAGAGGAUAUUUUAUAAUAUUGGAGCACAAUCCAGAGAGGGACAGAGUAAUUUUAAAAAUCAGAAUUAUAGAAUUUUUUUAAAUCCCUGUAAGGUACCAAGGAGCUCACCUAAUCAAACACCUUAAUUUUAUGGACAACAAAACCAAUGCUCAGAGGGGGAAGGAGUUGUGUAGUAGUGAGCACUGGGCUAUCCGGGGAAGCAGAUACCUUCAUUGAGCCUCCACUGUGAUGGACAUGUGUACAAACCAUAAAAAUAAGCCCCUUGCUUUCCCUUCUGUUCUCUAAGCCUCACUAAACAAUGUGCCAUGAAACAUAGCCCACUUGAUGAAGUCCUUCCUGAAUGAAUUACAAUUGUGCUUCCUUUAUCAAUUCAAGCCACACUUUUUUUCAUUUUUGAAGAGUCAAUUUCACCACAGCUUUACUGAAGUAGAAGCAAAGAUCAAAAGAUAAAAUAGAUUUCUUUACCAAGCAUAACUAGAAUAACUAGAUUUACAAAGGACGAUUUUUUAAAAAUCACAAAGGAGAAAAUAGAGCAUCAAGUUGGAAGAAUUUCUCAGAACAAGGAUGAGUUCCCAUGACUGGGAAACUAUUCAGCUUCCUUAGUUAAGAGUGAAUUUUAAAAUCUGCAUUUCAUUUGGUGAGUUUCAACAAGGACUCUUUCCUUGACCAAACCUUAAUCAUGUUCCUCUGAGGCCUCUUCUUGACUAGGCCUGGUCCUGGCCUGCAGAGCCCAGCUCAGCAAGAAUCCCCCGACCCUUAAUACCUAACCAAAUCCUCUUAGUAAUUUCCUAUCCACUGACCCCUUCGCCAUGCCCAUUGGCCAUAAAUCCCCAGCUGUCCCUGCUGCAACCAGAGUCAAGAUUAAUCUCUCCCCUGCUGCAGUAGUCUUGAAUAAAGCCUUCCUUGCCUGUUUAAUUAUGUUUCAUGCUUUUUUUCUUCAACAGAUUCACCUCCCAAUACCAAACUGUCACUGAGUCCUUCAUCCCAAACUGCCUGUAAUUAGGAUGGCCAUGUGUAGCUGUUUACUGAGACAGUCCCAGUGCAUGCCUGACACAGAAGCACAAUUACCAAUGGCUGCCCAAUCUACUCUCAAAAGUGCCUUGGUUUGCACAAUAAAUUGUCUUCACACACAUGAGGUGUGAAAUUUACUGGCUAGAGACACUCAUUAAGAAGAGGACUUUAAAAAUGGUGCUACAGCAAUAUACACAGAACAAAAGAGAGCAAAUUCAUGAAACUAGAACACUCCCUUUUUCAUAGUGCCUCCAGAGGCAUAGUUACAUUUGAUUUGUAUCAUAUUCUAUCCAAGUUAAGUGUUUCACCAUAAAUAAAAAUUGAUUUUCAUGAGUUUCUCAUUCAAACAUAUUCAUACAAUGCCUUUAUUAUGCCUCUCCUUUGGCAACUACAAAUGGGUUUAUUAUAGAACACUGGCCGGAAAUGUGACAUGCAUUCCAGAAAGAGAGGAAG